UUUUCAUGUAAAAUUUUAAGAUUAUUUGAGUUUACAGUACUUGUUAUUUGACAUUAAAAGGUUUAAAAAAUUUAUCAAUUACUUGCUAUUGAUAUUUUCUAUCCCAUCUUCACUCUAUCUAAAACCAAGCCUUCUUUGAUAUAUAUAUUUAAAACAACUUUUAAAUAGAUUUGCUACCUAAAACAUUUUCAAAUGUCUUAUUGAAAUCUAAAAAUGAAAAACAUGCUAAGGAUACGUAUGCUCACUAAUUAGCAAUUUUUAUAUAAAUCCGUUGGUUUUCCUUUGGUCAAAGAAAAAGCAUUUAUAACAUGUUUGCUUACAAUUUUAAAAUUGAUGAUAGGACUAACACUUGAUUCUUUACACUAAUUAGGAAUUUUUUAAGAAGGAGCAAAAUUUCUUGAAACCAUUGAACUUUCAGUGAGUUUUAAACAUACGUGAUCUAAUUUGCAUACAGAGAGGAAGCUAUUUUUUUGAUUAUGGUUUACCUGUAUCCAGAAUCCCAUCGAUCGUGUAUAUGAAUUUGAAUAGUAUAGUGGUUUUAAAAAAGGACGGAGGAAACACAAAUUAUUUUAGAAUGACUGUAAAAAUGAGAUAGCCUUUCAACAGUACGUGUUGUCAGCAAUACAUUAAAUGAAAAUAACUGCUUCUUAAAAGUCAAAAGCCGCCUUAUUUUUUACUUGAUCACGACAUGAAAAUUGCUUUCAUCUGUUUAAUAUAAAUCAGCAUUACGUUGUUGGUCAUGAUACGUUUGCAUUUCUUGAAACGCAUCCCACCAUAGCUUGGAUGUGUCUUCAUCAUAACCUAGACUUCCUUCUGGUUGCCAAUGUUUUCCAUGAACUGCUUUUAGAUAUGGUAAGUCAUUUUUUCUAGCCCAAAGUCCGUUAAAAGUCCAAUCAAGUGACUCCCAUGGAAAAGCACCUGCUGAAUUGUAUGCAAAAUUUAGCAAACUUUGCUCCAUCAUGUUUGCAUUAUCAUACAAUUUUGGAAACCUUGCUAAUGCCAUUAACCUUUUAUAAUGUGCCUUCAAUGGCUUAAAGACGAAUAGACCAGCAUUAAAAUAAUCUUUAAAAGGAGGAGGAGUUUCAUGCCACAUACCUGGAUCGGACACAGCAGCGAAAACGUAGGGAUAAAGAUCGUCUCUUGUCAGCCCGUAAGCUGCAAACUCUUCUGUAAAGCGUCUCCAAAAAAUGCUGCGCCUAGGCUUGUAGAAUAGGGUGGGAGGAAACAGAACAGAAUCCUUACUAUAGGAGAGUUGGUGAACAUCAAAAACUUUGUCCAUUUUUUUAAUAGGCAAAAUAUCACUAUCAAGAAAACAUAUUCUAUCAUAUUCGUACAUUUCGAAAACUCUCAACUUGGUAAACAUCAUACUCCAUCGGGAAUCCAGUAGGGCAAUGUCAUUGACAUCGUCAACCACUUCAUGAGCAUAUAGUGGAUCGACUACUUUAACAAUAGCUCCGUCUUCCUGCAAUUGAUCAAGCUUCCACUGAUCAAUUCCCUUCAUGGCUAGCACUACAACGGGAUACUUGCUUUUCGUAGGUUUAAAUUUGACAAGUCGGUGAACGAGAAGCCUAGUUGAAUUAUAAUACCAAUCCUGUUGCGUAUUUUCUACUUCGUUUUCCCCAUUAGCGGCGCGUACAGUAAGCAUAGUUACAAAUGCCAUCUUAGAAGAG
This 1670-nucleotide long non-coding RNA is filed under the name Schizosaccharomyces pombe (fission yeast). Lineage: Eukaryota; Fungi; Ascomycota; Schizosaccharomycetes; Schizosaccharomycetales; Schizosaccharomycetaceae. The record is from RNAcentral.